This 2106-nucleotide ribosomal RNA is filed under the name Triticum aestivum (bread wheat). RNAcentral describes it as "partial small subunit ribosomal RNA". Lineage: Eukaryota; Viridiplantae; Streptophyta; Magnoliopsida; Poales; Poaceae. The record is from RNAcentral.
GGGUGUGUAUACAUACCAGGGUGGAAGUAGGUCAUUGGGCGCGCGCGCAGUGCAAAGAGCGGGUUGGGGCAGAGGGAAGGGGCCUUCUGCUUAGUGCUCGUGUGCUAAGGGGGUUAAGAUUGGGAUCUUUGUCUCGCGUCCUCCCGGUCGGCGUUGGCCCUGUUUUCGCCUUUGGUCGGUUGGGUUCGGAGCUAAAGAGGUAGCGGCGCCGUCUUCGAUGCUCCAGGUCUUCCCUCGCGCUCUUCGAACGCACUUCCUGAGUUGGUACCGCUCGCGCCUAGACGACGCCUCCCUCCUCCUCAAGAUGCUCAGCGACAAGCUAAGGCGGUUUCCGCUACGGCGACGGCGGUUCUGCGCACCCGUCUACUAGCUCUCCUUCUAACUUCGGGACCUCCUGUACCGUUGGUUCCAAUCAUUGGCCUCCAGAGCGUCUACGAUACAAAAAUUUCGCAGGGAUUCCGCUGCGGAUCCGCUGCGGAUCCGCAGCUUCGCGAGGGGGAGGCGAAACCUUUUAGCUGGCGAAACCCGCGGAUCCGCAGGUUUCGCGGGCGGAUCCGCAGCGGAUCCGCGGUUUCGCGGGGGGGAGGGAUUCCGCCAUUCCGCAGCGGAAUUUUUGUAUCGCGUCUACCAACUUACUAGCGAACGACUAACUCGAGCAGGGAGCAGAAGUACAACUUCUUUAGUUUCCGGAGAAACGGGGAGGCGGUAAACCACUCCUUCGUGGUGACAGUCGUAAAACGUCCUGUUCACAACCACUCACCCUACGUAAGUCCUCGUAACUGUACCUGCAACUCCGUUCUAAAUACGUUGCUUACUUUGUUAGUAGUUUCGUCUUCUUAGAACACUUACUUCUACUCAGUUAACACGACUUACAAUAUAAAAACCAACAACAAUAUUACGAAUCUUGUACACACCACAGUUCUGAACCCUCAUUUUUAUUUUACCAUGAUCAUUAUAAAACCAACACAUUUUUAUUUUACCGUGUACUUCUAUUAAGUAGAUGAGAGUAGACAAACCAAACAUCAAAGCCUUGUGACUCGUGUAUAUCUAAUUUACUUAGUACGUUUACCUUUCUUUACCUUAGACUAUUUACAAACAACUUGACUCAAGUCAACAAUUUUGGUUGUUAAGUACGUGACGAAUAUAAUCAUUCAAGUUUAAUACAUGACGACUACCCGAAUACAUACUCAAUCGUCAAAUCGUGGUAAUAAGACUAUUUUGUUUCUUGUACGACAAAACUAGUUAAACCAAGAUGAAGCCUAACUCAUCCUUUUAUAAACGUUCACAACUGACACAAUACCUAGAAGGUAUACCUCAGGAUGAGUGACGAACAUUCAAGAUAGACAUAGACAAAUUAUGAACAAUCUAAGUUAUCAUGUCGGUCGAAUCUACGAGACGUCUUUCGUAUAUGAACUGAUACAAUAAGAACUUUUCUUUCAUAUAUGAACAGAUAUAGACAUAAUAAAACGACAACAAAUUCAAUCGUUUUUGGCACGAAGUGAAAACGUCCUUGCCUAGUCCCGGAAGUAACUUCUGUGAUGACUAUUUCUACACGAACACAACUUACAGGUCCUGGGUAAAGUCUCCAACGAUAAUGUACCACAAACGCUCAAAAUGUUACAUUGCAGAUGCUGGUGUCCAUGACACGUUCUACCUUUCGGUACCUUCUGUUGUUGUUAGUUCUUCGCAAGCCCCUGCCCACAACGGGGGUACUAGUGUAACCAAUCAAAGGACUCUUGUUUCUUCUUACCCAGUGUGCAACAGAGCACUCCUGGUCUUCGGGGUAUAAGGAACCGGCUACGCUAGCUCACACCGGUACUCGGGUACCAGUACGAGGACCCUCUUCGGUUUCAACAAAGAAAUCCAAAACGAAUCCUACAUGUGUCUACAUUUAAUUAAUGGUACGAAGCCGAUUUCUCUGCUUCCGUACGUUCACUACCCAGUGAAGCGUCGGUUCGUUCAUGACAUGGAAAAGCUCAAUUUGGAAUGGAAUGGCGGUCGAAUGACCACCACCACGGUCUGUUACCAAAAGUUGGCUGAAAACUAAACGUACCAAGUUUACUACGUAACUCUGGCACCGGCAUCAAACCUUCGCUACCUCCUAUA